Molecule: non-coding RNA, 319 nt
Organism: Paramormyrops kingsleyae
Lineage: Eukaryota; Metazoa; Chordata; Actinopteri; Osteoglossiformes; Mormyridae
Source: RefSeq, a predicted model, not a curated record
UUGAUAUGCAGCAUUUCCAGUUUGUAAAUGAAAGUGAAAGUAUUUUAAUGUUGGACUCUCCAUUUUGUCAAGAAGCACGGAUAAGAUUCUGUAUUGCAAGGGGCCCCAGCAUCAGUUAUCUAGAUCGGCACAAAAAUGGAACGAGCUGCUUCUGAAGUGACCCCCCCUGUGGAGUGUAAAACAAAGAGAGCUGAGAGUGUCCUGAUGGAGAGAGCAGGCUCACCUGUACCCAGCUGUGUUUCCAUGAAGAGUGACAGGUCAAUGGACCGACCAGUCGUAUUCAGAGAGGGACGUUUUCCUACAGAUCAAAGGUAAAUAU